UAUGAAGCUUUACUGUAGCUUGGCAUUGAGUUUGGGUUUAGUUUGCGCAGCAUAGGUGGGAGGCUGAGAUAAUAUGCUUGUGGGUAUAUAGUAGCCAUCAGUGAGAUACCACUCUGACUAAACUAGAAUUCUAACCUUAAAUAGCCGUUAACCGGCUAAGGAACAGUGUCAGGUGGGCAGUUUGACUGGGGCGGUCGCCUCCUAAAAGGUAACGGAGGCGUGCAAAGGUUCUCUCAGGCUGGUCGGAAAUCAGUCGUAGAGUAUAAAGGCAAAAGAGAGCUUGACUGCAAGACCUACAAGUCGAGCAGAGACGAAAGUCGGCCUUAGUGAUCCGACAGU
Molecule: ribosomal RNA, 339 nt
Filed under: Gloiocladia spinulosa
Lineage: Eukaryota; Rhodophyta; Florideophyceae; Rhodymeniales; Faucheaceae
Description: bacterial LSU rRNA
Rfam family: Bacterial large subunit ribosomal RNA
Source: RNAcentral